This 726-nucleotide long non-coding RNA is filed under the name Setaria italica (foxtail millet). RNAcentral's name for it is "long non-coding RNA (SITA_LNC004155)". Lineage: Eukaryota; Viridiplantae; Streptophyta; Magnoliopsida; Poales; Poaceae. The record is from RNAcentral.
GGGAAUCUGCACCUAUUCCGUACAUGAACUGCAACAGCAUGAUGCCAUGCGGAAGAUAGCGAAAGCAUAACCCUGGUCCUGGCACACCAGGUGACUUCUUUUUCUCGAACAUGGCUCCAGGUGAGUUCAUCUUUUGAGUCUUGACCAACACAUCAAACAAGCUGAGAUGUGUUUGGGUGAGAAAGGUUGGGGAAGAACCUCAUGUAUACCUGACGCUGCACCUCACCAUAGAGCUGCAGGAAGAACGAAUGGCGAUGCCCGGCGACGACGUUUUGCUUGCCCACCCUUGCCUGGUUGACUCCCUGAUCCAUCACGGCCGUGCGAUGCCGUCGUGGAACGCUGCAUCGUGCGAGAGCAGAGCGAGACGGAGACGCCGCACCAUAUAUAGGUACACCGCGCACUCUGGCAGUGCGACGCGGUGACAAGCGUGCGCCCGUGUCUCGUUCGGCGGGCGACAAAUCACCACCACCGCCUGGGAGUGGGAGCUCUCUCCUCAGCCGGCGCAGCAGGUCGAUCAGUUGAUGCUUGGCCACCCUGCCUGAAGAAGAAUGCCGCCCAUCACGACCGUAAUAGUAAGACUCCGCAACGCCAUGCCGGACGCGCGGCGCAAAUCAAAGGGAAGGAACGACGAGCAAGCAAACCGUCCGCCCGCCGGCGACGACGUACCUCGGUACCUGCGCCUGCUGCGGCGGUGGCAAAGCCCCUCGCCGUCCCAUUUGUCCCCCG